UGAACCAGCAACUUGGAGGAAUGUAAAGCAAUUGCUGAUUGCAUUUAAUUAUUUUAAUUUAAUAUAAUGUAAUUACUACUUAGUAGUUUAAAUUUCUAGAUAGAAUUAUGAUGAUGACAUUAUCUAUCUAUAUGUCUUGACCAAAUUACGUGCCAGCAGUCGCGGUAAUACGUAGAAGACUAGUGUUAUUCAUCUUUAUUAGGUUUAAAGAGUACCAAGACGGUUAAUAAAGCCCAAAAUACAUGAGCACGGGGGACACAUUGACUAGAGUUAUAUGAAAGGAAGCUCUAAGGUACUGUUGAGUGGAGAGUUGAAAUUCUUUCAUACCAGAUGAGUGGCACAGAUUUAUGCGAAGGCAUCUUCUUAUGUAAUAACUGACGUUGUAGGACGAAGGCUUUUGAAGUGAACGGGAUUAGUUACCCCAGUAAUCUAAGCAGAAAAUGAUGAAUGUCAUAGGUUAAAUAGCAGCAGUGUUUGAUAGUAGCAAUGCAAACUGCAACACAUUUGGUCUAUAAAUGAAAGUGUAAGCAUUCCACCUCAAGAGUAAUUUGGCAACAUUGAAACUGAAAUCAUUAGACCGUUUCUGAAACCAGUAGUGAAGUAUGUUGUUUAAUUAGAUGAUACACAAAAAACCUUACCACAUUGAUUUAUAUUUGAAAAAAUAUAAUUUCAAUUAUUAUAUGAAUAAUAUCUUUAAAGAUAUAUACAAGCGCUGCACGGCUGUCUUCAGUUAAUGUCGUGAGACUGUGGUUAGUUCCAUUAAAUUAACGUAAACCCUCACUUUAUUUAUAUAUAAAGUAUUGAUCAAAAUACAAUAUGUUAUUAGAUGUAUUAAUAGGGACUAUGACAAGUCAUC
Molecule: ribosomal RNA, 856 nt
Filed under: Pseudocyphellaria dubia
Lineage: Eukaryota; Fungi; Ascomycota; Lecanoromycetes; Peltigerales; Lobariaceae
Description: SSU rRNA
Rfam family: Bacterial small subunit ribosomal RNA
Source: RNAcentral